This 454-nucleotide ribosomal RNA is filed under the name uncultured Prevotellaceae bacterium. RNAcentral's name for it is "bacterial SSU rRNA". It matches the Rfam family "Bacterial small subunit ribosomal RNA", at positions 341 to 792 of the family's 1533-position model. Lineage: Bacteria; Pseudomonadati; Bacteroidota; Bacteroidia; Bacteroidales; Prevotellaceae. The record is from RNAcentral.
ACGGAAGGCAGCAGUGAGGAAUAUUGGUCAAUGGACGGAAGUCUGAACCAGCCAAGUAGCGUGCAGGAUGACGGCCCUAUGGGUUGUAAACUGCUUUUUUAGGGGAAUAAAGUUAGCCACGUGUGGUUAUUUGCAUGUACCCUACGAAUAAGGACCGGCUAAUUCCGUGCCAGCAGCCGCGGUAAUACGGAAGGUCCGGGCGUUAUCCGGAUUUAUUGGGUUUAAAGGGAGCGCAGGCCGUUUGGUAAGCGUGUUGUGAAAUGUCCGGGCUCAACCUGGGCACUGCAGCGCGAACUGCCAGACUUGAGUGCACAGGAAGCGGGCGGAAUUCGUGGUGUAGCGGUGAAAUGCUUAGAUAUCACGAAGAACUCCAAUUGCGAAGGCAGCUCGCUGUAGUGUUACUGACGCUAAAGCUCGAAAGUGCGGGUAUCGAACAGGAUUAGAUACCCUGGUA